Molecule: ribosomal RNA, 484 nt
Filed under: uncultured bacterium
Lineage: Bacteria
Description: partial 16S ribosomal RNA
Rfam family: Bacterial small subunit ribosomal RNA
Source: RNAcentral
GACGAACGCUGGCGGCGUGCUUAACACAUGCAAGUCGAACGAUGAAGCCGGAGCUUGCUCUGGUGAAUUAGUGGCGAACGGGUGAGUAACACGUGAGUAACCUGCCCUUGACUCUGGGAUAACUGCGGGAAACUGUAGCUAAUACCGGAUACGACCCUCGGAGGCAUCUCCUGGGGGUGGAAAGAAUUUCGGUCAAGGAUGGACUCGCGGCCUAUCAGCUAGUUGGUGAGGUAAAGGCUCACCAAGGCGACGACGGGUAGCCGGCCUGAGAGGGUGACCCGCCACACGGGGACUGAGACACGGCACAGACUCCUACGGGAGGCAGCAGUGGGGAAUAUUGCACAAUGGGCGCAAGCCUGAUGCAGCAACGCCGCGUGAGGGAUGACGGCCUUCGGGUUGUAAACCUCUUUUAGCGGGGAAGAAGCGAAAGUGACGGCACCUGCAGAAAAAGCACCGGCUAACUACGUGCCAGCCGCCGCAGUAA